This is a long non-coding RNA of Cyprinus carpio (common carp), 1220 nucleotides long. Lineage: Eukaryota; Metazoa; Chordata; Actinopteri; Cypriniformes; Cyprinidae. The record is from Ensembl.
UUCAAUGGUUUCAGAAGAAAUUCUUCCACUAAAGUGAUGCCUGAAGGUGUUGCUUCAGGUGAAGAUGAACAUGUCUUCAUAACGCCUUCCUUUCCUCUGACACCACAGACUCACUGUCUACAGACACAAUUUGCAUUGCCUGUUGAAAACCAAAGCAAUCUUUAUAACACGCCAUUUUGAGGGCAGCAUCACAGUUCUCUCUGAUCUCUCUCUCUCACUCACACACACACACACACCUAACUCCAUAAAAGAUAGCAUUCAUUGCCCCCACUCACUUUCGCAACACACACACACACACACAUACACACACACACACACACACACACACACACACACAGUCUCUCUCAAACACCAGCGGGCACAGGGCGGUUCACUCCCUCACUGCAGACAGACUGUGACGGCCGUGUGUGUGUGUGUGAAGCCAUAUGUGGCUGUGUAUGUCUCUGUACGUUUGUGUGUGUGUGUGUGUGUGCGCUGGCCUCGGGCUCAAACACGUCCUCAGAAAGGGUCUGUGAGCGAGGCUGCCCCGCAGGAAACCGUGACAUUACCUGAGGCGCCACUAGGCCCUCUUACACUUCACAAAGUGAAAAAUCACAUCAGAGGAUGUGAGCCGACACACACACACACACACACACACACAUUUAUAUUCACACCUAAAUGUCUCUAAACACACUAAAAACAACGUUUUAAAGAUUUUUGAGGUCGAAGACACUGAUGGAUGUGUUGAUUUGAUGAGCUUUUUUGCAGAUGAUGAUGUCACUUCCUGUGACAUCAUGCCACAGCUGACACAGCUGCUUGGUUUGGCAUGUAAUAAUUUUUAGAUUUUGCAUUUUCUGUUUUCUGGAUGCAAUUUGUCAUAUGUCCUGGUCUGUAAUAUGAUGGUUUUUUUUUUCUGUUUUCAGAUGCAGCAGCAGGAACUCGCCCAAAUGAGACAAAGGGACGCCAACCUGACGGCACUCGCCGCCAUCGGCCCUCGGAAGAAACGCAAAGUGGACUCACCAGGAGCUACAGCGACAGGCACUGAGAGCAAAAGUAAACCGCAGAGGGUUUUCCCCUGCUGUGUUCGUCCAGUUUCCCACAGCAGUGAACGGGACUGGACGUCUGUCCUCCGUGAGAGCGUUACAGUGUUGUUUCGAUGCAGAUCGCAGUGCCGCUCCACAUAUGGCUACCAGCUCUGCUCUGCAUUACGCAGGAUUACGCCGCGCACACUGGAGACAUGA